CCUACGGGAGGCAGCAGUGAGGAAUAUUGGGCAAUGGGCGAGAGCCUGAACCAGCAAAGUCGCGUGAAGGAUGAAGGCCCUACGGGUUGUAAACUGCUUUUGUCAGGGAGCAAUUGGGUCCACGCGUGGGCGUAGCGAGAGGACCUGAAGAAAAAGCAUCGGCUAACUCCGUGCCAGCAGCCGCGGUAAUACGGGGGAUGCGAGCGUUAUCCGGAUGUAUUGGGUUAAAAGGGUGCGUAGGCGGAAUAUCAAGUCAGCGGUAAAAAUUCGGGGCUCAACCCCGUCGUGCCGUUGAUACUGUUGUUCUUGAGUGGGCGAGAAGUAUGCGGAAUGCGUGGUGUAGCGGUGAAAUGCAUAGAUAUCACGCAGAACUUCGAUUGCGAAGGCAGCAUACCGGCGCCCAACUGACGCUGAAGCACGAAAGCGUGGGUAUCGAACAGGAUUAGAUACCCUGGUAGUC
This 460-nucleotide ribosomal RNA is filed under the name uncultured bacterium. Its description in RNAcentral is "partial 16S ribosomal RNA". It matches the Rfam family "Bacterial small subunit ribosomal RNA", at positions 338 to 795 of the family's 1533-position model. The record is from RNAcentral.